Molecule: ribosomal RNA, 200 nt
Filed under: uncultured bacterium
Lineage: Bacteria
Description: partial 16S ribosomal RNA
Rfam family: Bacterial small subunit ribosomal RNA
Source: RNAcentral
AUUGAACGCUGGCGGCAGGCUUAACACAUGCAAGUCGAGCGGGGAAGGGUAGCCUGCUACCUGACCUAGCGGCGGACGGGUGAGUAAUGCUUAGGAAUCUGCCUAUUAGUGGGGGACAACAUUCCGAAAGGAAUGCUAAUACCGCAUACGCCCUACGGGGAAAGCAGGGGAUCUUCGGACCUUGCGCUAAUAGAUGAGCC